CAAUAUGAAACAAGAAGUUUAUAAAAAAAAGAAUAAUUUUGACUCUCGCUAAUCGGAGCAUCGUUGGAUUCUUAUUUUGAAUUCGAAAUUAUCCUUUUUUCUCUUAGCUUAUUCAUUACGAAUUAGCUUAAAUAAUAUACCAUUGGAUGAAUGGUUUAUAAAUCAUAUAAUGUCAUUCUAUUUUCCCUUAAGAAAUUGAAUGACGCAUUUGAUUAUAUUCCCGACAUUCUAUCCCGAAAUGAUAUAAAUCCUCAAUCUUAGAAAUCUCCUACUUAUGUAUACUUACUUUAGGCAAAUCAGACUUAGAGUUAGAUUAGUAGUGGUGGUCCAAGAAAGAAGAAUACUCAUGUAUAUUUGGUAUAAAUUUAAGCCUUUGACUUUAAAUUUUAGAUUCUAAAUAGAAAUUUUAUAUUUAUAUUUCUAGAAUAUAAUACAGUUACACUUUCACAAGUGUUUAAUAACCAUUUUUUAUCAAUGGAUUCAAACUGUAUGUUAAAGUAUGGAAUAUGAGUUUAGUAUUCUGUGACCAGGAUCCACUUACACUAUUCUAAGAAGUCUUUAUUAUAACUAAACCUAAGUCAUCAAAAGACCACAACCACAUAUUUUAUAAAUCUAUGGCAUUUGUAUCUUGUUGAUAGUGGUUUUGACAAGAUCAUUCUCUGCAAAGAGUCAAUAUGCCUAUAUCCACUGAAAGUAUAAUCAUCUCAUUCGCAGAUGGAUGUAUAUUCAGGGGUGGAUAUGAGUUUUCGUUAUGUUCUUAAGACGAUCACUCUAAAUUUUACCUUAUGCAAAAGAAAUUUGAAAUGUUUAAAAAAUUUCAUGAAUUUCUAGCAAUGUUGAAAAACAUUGAGGUAAGUGGUUAAAGAUCUUGCGAACUGAUAGGGGUGGAGAAAUAUUUGAUCAAUAUGCAGUUCAAAGAUCAUUAAGUUGAUUUUUUAAAUUAUAUCCAAACUUACCUCCCUAGAAAUUCGAUUUGCAUAUUGAUGAUUAGUUACUAGUCGUUGCCUAAGUCCUUCUAGGGAUAUACCCUAGUGAAAAGAAAAUUUUAGAAUGAUAGAAUAGUUGUGUACUUAGUGUAAACCAUUACUAGAUUCAUGGAUGACCUAAUCAAAAUCUUAAGAGAGGCUAGAACUGUUAACUAAGAUUUGCAUGUUUGUUAUCUAUUCUAAGUGAUUAGGGGUGGACCAUCCCAUAGUCAUUAGAUUAGAAAGUGUUUGUUUCAACAAAUACUACUUUUCUAAGAAAAAUGACUAAGUCUGAAAACAAAGUAGCAAAGUAGAGGAGAUAUUUUUUUUUAUUCCAAAAGUGUUCUAUCAUCUUAUUCGAUACAAGAUGAUCCCACUGCCUCUGUUAUUUUAACACAACCGAAGAGGACAAUACCAUUUAGAUUCUUAGACAAUAGUCACAGUACUUUGUCGUAGUGGGAGGGUUUCAAGGAACUCAUCCUGUUAUGACUUGGAAGACACCGGUGAUUAAAAUCCAUUGUUAGUUUAAACGAGUAAUGGAUUGUCAGAAUAAGAAACUAAGAAGUAAAGCCAAGAAAACUAUGGUUAAAACCAUUCAUGUGGAACAACCAAAAGUUUUCUAUUACAAGGACAUGAAAGGAAAUUUCGUUUGUAGGUCUAUUCAAUGGACUUAACAAAACUUCCUAUUCCUAGUAUUAUAGGUUUGAAUUUAUCUAAACCUAUGGCUUGUGGUAUAUCUAGUUAAUUACUUACUCUAGUACAAGCAACUUACUUUAGUAAGAUGCUGAAGCAUUUUCUUUUCUAAUGGCAAUCUAUAGAAGCUUCUCGACUUCUAGACAUAGAUUUUAUUUAUCUAAGGAAAAGUCUCAACUAUUCCAGAAAAGUUAAAGCCAUGAAAGAAUUCUUUGAAUCAACAGUGAGAGGUCUCAGAUAUGCUUCAGUAUGCCUUAGUCCAGACACCUGCUGUUGAGUGGGAGUAAUGAGUGGGUAUCAGAUUAAUCCAGGAAAGGAACAUUGGAAGACAAUCAAGUAAAUCUUAAGAUUAAGAAGAGGAACUAUAUGUUAGUCGAUAAGGGUGCAUUUAAUACUCUUAGACUACACCAAAUCAGAUUUCUAGACUUGCCUUAGUGCUAGAAAGCUUGCUGAUGAGAUGGUGAUUACUCUGGGGGUGGACUAGUGAUUUUGGAAAAGUGUAAAAACCUAUCUGAAGUCUCUAAGUCUACCAGAGAGAGACUGAAUGUUAAAGUUGCAGGAAAGAUACUUAUUCAAUCUAAGGAAAGUUCUAUACAUUUUUGGCAUUUGUUCCAACAUUUAUAAACUACAACUGUUACUUCCUGACUAACGCAAAGUAGUUGCCAAAAAGUAUAGAAUCCAGUAUCCAAAGAGAGUAGAAAUAUAGAGAGGAAUUUCACAAUAUCAAAGUAUUUUGUGAUUAAGGAAAAGUAAUGGUGGAGGAAAGGUUGUGUUGAAUACAACUUGUCAGAUCCUAUUAUGGAAAGUAUACUACAUACUACACUUGAUUUGUAUAUCAAGGUGUUGAGAUUAUUUGAAAUGCACUUUUUGUUUUAUAUUAGUACAAGUGGGAGUUUGUUGGGUUUUGUGCCCUAAAUAAAACCUAUUUCAAUAUAAUCAAAUUUACUAGUUAAUAAAGAUCAGAAAUAACAUUUUAAGUUACAUAGUUCACAUGAUUUAUUUCAUGAUUAUAAAUUCUAUUAAGUCCAGAACAUAUGUAUUUGUUAAUGAUUAUAGUGUUGUCAGCACAAUGGAAUAUAAUCUUGAUUAUACUUUCAAAAGUUUAAUUCCCUGAUUUGUCAGUUCACUGGAUUUAGACUGCAUGAUAAUCAGCGAUAAGUAUACUUACACCUUGGAUAAGUGUUAUGUCCUUUCCAGGGCAUUGGUAAAAUUUACAAGUAUCGGAUGUAUGGAGUAUACAUUGGAAGGGACCGAUAUUGAACUUUGAUUAGAUAUGUUAAAUUUACCGUAAUAUCUAUUCAAUUAAAUAUCACCUAGUUGAUCCUAGAUCAAAUGAUCUCAAUCCUGAUAUGGUUAGGUUCGAUCUCAACAGUAUUAUACAUGUUCUUUGAUUUGUUAGUUAAACCUAUUUUUGGGUCAAGGUGAUACGUACAUUUUGGGAACAUGGUAGUGCAAUUAAGUGGGAGCGCUAAACAUAGAUAUGGAAUCUAUAGCUUCUAUAGGUAUUUAGAAGUGAAACGAUGAUUUCCUUCGAGCUUGCUAAAUAGAGAUAAAUGAUAGAACGUUCAUUUUAGUGACUAUAUUAAUUCACUAAAAUAUCAUUUAUAGGUGGCAAGUGUUUUAAGGAUAAAAUACAUUGAAAGGGUGUAACGAUAAUUUUAUCCCUAUGCAAUGUAGAUCAUCUACAGAGGAUCAUUAAUUAUUGGGAUUAUAACAAUGGAUAAUUUAUAGCGUAUCUAUAUCGUGAAACAUAUAGAGCGUUUUAUAUGACUGAGAGUGCAAUUCCAAGUUCUAUGCGUGGAUGCAACAAGGAAUUAAUAAGUCAGUGAAUUUACUUGGUAAAUUCUUGGUCUGCUUAUUGGAAGCUCGGUUAUAUAGGCCCAUGGUCCCCAUACUAGCUGAGACCAUACUGCUUGUAAGACUUAGUUAAUUGAUUUUUAUUAAUCAAUUAUAAUUCUAAAAUUAGACUAUGUCUAGUUUAUGAAUUUUCACUAAGCAAGGGCAAAAUUGUGAAGAAAAGAGAUGUUAGGUUUUAUUUAUUAAUUAAGAGACUUUAUAUGUCUAAUUAAUAAAUGCAUUAAAUGACAAUAUUAUUUAAUAAUUAAUUUUUAGUUAUUAAAUAAUUGGAAUUGGCAUUUAAGUGGUUAAAUUAGAAAAUUGGCGUUUUUGAGAAAAUGGGAUGGAAAAAUGACAAAAUGGCAAAAUUACAAAGUGGGCCCAUUAUCCAAUCCUAGGGCGAGCCACACUAAUGCAAUUUACCAUUUAUUUUUUCAUUAUUUUAAUGCUAAUUAAAUCUAACCUAAACCUAGCUGGUUACCUAUAAAUAGGAAGUGAUGGCUUCAGGAAAAAGAUGAUGUAUCUCAUUCCUUCAGAGAAAAAUUCUAAGCCUUCUACCUAUACCCUAGCCGCCACCCUCUUCCUCUCUUUUCUUCUUCAUAUUAUUUAGCCUUGAGUGAUAGAGUGAGUGCCCACACACAUCAAGUGGUAUCUCAAUCAUAGUGUGUAAGACUGUGAAGAAUCCAAUCAACCAGAAGGAGAAUCGGGGUCAAGAAGGAGAGAAAGAGAUUCAAGUUCAGAUAUUGAUAAUGCUCUACUACAGAAAGGAAUCAAGGGCUAGAGAUCUAAACGGAAGGUUAUUUUAAAGACUAUUCAUGCAUUUAAAGUCUUUUGGAGGGAUUUUAGCAUAUUUUGGUGGAAAAUAGUGGAAGUCGGCGAGCUCGAUUGUGUUGGGUUUUAUGCCCUAAAUAAAACUUCAUUUCAAUGUAAUCUAUUUUAUUCAACAUCAAUAAAGAAACAGAAGUAUUUUUCAUUCAUUUGUAUAUGUUUUGGUUCACUUUAUCAAUUCCUUGUCUAUUUGAUUUAUAAAUUCAUCUUAAA
Long non-coding RNA from Cannabis sativa, 4535 nucleotides. RefSeq lists it as uncharacterized. The transcript is spliced from 2 exons. The record is from RefSeq and is a predicted model, not a curated record. NCBI's taxonomy places the organism in Eukaryota, Viridiplantae, Streptophyta, Magnoliopsida, Rosales, Cannabaceae.